RNAcentral lists this ribosomal RNA (1362 nucleotides) under metagenome. RNAcentral's name for it is "bacterial LSU rRNA". It matches the Rfam family "Bacterial large subunit ribosomal RNA", at positions 1535 to 2925 of the family's 2925-position model. The record is from RNAcentral.
GGAAAAACCGCCGUGCAACCCAAAGGUGUGACGCAUACCGAACUAAAGUUGGGAAAUGUGUGUGCCGGCUGCCGAGAAAAGCCGCUAUUGUUUGUACUGUACCCGUACCGUAAACCGACACAGGUGGAUGAGGAGAGAAUCCUAAGGCCGACGGAAGAAGCAUUGUUAAGGAACUCGGCAAAAUGACCCUGUAACUUCGGGAGAAAGGGUGCCUCGAAAGAGGCCGCAGAGAAUAGGCCCAAGCAACUGUUUAGCAAAAACACAGGUCUAUGCAAAACCGCAAGGUGAAGUAUAUGGGCUGACGCCUGCCCGGUGCUGGAAGGUUAAGGGGAGAUGUCAGGAGACGAAGCAUCGAACUUAAGCCCCAGUAAACGGCGGCCGUAACGAUAACGGUCCUAAGGUAGCGAAAUUCCCUGUCGGGUAAGUUCCGACCCGCACGAAAGGCGUAAUGAUUUGGGCGCUGUCUCGGCAAUGCAUCCGGUGAAAUUGAAGUGCCAGUGAAGAUGCUGGCUACCCGCGCCAGGACGGAAAGACCCCAUGGAGCUUUACUCCAGCUUGAUACUGGGAUUCGGUAUUGUAUGUACAGGAUAGGUGGGAGGCUGAGAAAUGGUGACGCCAGUCGCCAUGGAGCCGCUGUUGGGAUACCACCCUUGCAGUACUGGAUUUCUAACCAGCAGCCGUGAUCCGGCUGGGGGACAAUGUCAGGUGGGGAGUUUGACUGGGGCGGUCGCCUCCGAAAGGGUAUCGGAGGCGCUCAAAGGUUCCCUCAGAAUGGUCGGAAACCAUUCGAAGAGUGCAAAGGCAGAAGGGAGCUUGACUGCGACACCGACGGGUGGGGCAGGUACGAAAGUAGGACUUAGUGAUCCGGUGGUAUUAAGUGGGAAUGCCAUCGCUCAACGGAUAAAAGCUACCCGGGGGAUAACAGGCUUAUCACUCCCAAGAGUUCACAUCGACGGAGUGGUUUGGCACCUCGAUGUCGGCUCAUCGCAUCCUGGGGCUGUAGUAGGUCCCAAGGGUUGGGCUGUUCGCCCAUUAAAGCGGUACGCGAGCUGGGUUCAGAACGUCGUGAGACAGUUCGGUCCCUAUCCGGCGUGGGCGUAGGAUAUUUGAGAGGAGCUGACCUUAGUACGAGAGGACCGGGUUGGACUGACCUCUGGUGCACCGGUUGUCAUGCCAAUGGCACAGCCGGGUAGCCAAGUCGGGAAGGGAUAAACGCUGAAGGCAUCUAAGCGUGAAGCCCCCCUCAAGAUGAGAUAUCCCCCGCAUAAGCGGUAAGACCCCUUGAAGACGACGAGGUAGAUAGGGCAGAGGUGGAAGUGCAGUAAUGUAUGGAGCUGACUGCUACUAAUAGGUCGAAGGCUC